This 424-nucleotide ribosomal RNA is filed under the name uncultured bacterium. RNAcentral's name for it is "bacterial SSU rRNA". It matches the Rfam family "Bacterial small subunit ribosomal RNA", at positions 355 to 776 of the family's 1533-position model. The record is from RNAcentral.
UCGAGGAUAUUUAGCAAUGGACGAAAGUCUGACUAUGUGACGCCGCGUGAGGGAUGAAGGCCUUCGGGUUGUAAACCUCUUUCAAUGGGGAAGAAAAUUCCAGUUAAUACCUGGAACUGACGGUACCUAGAGAAGAAGCCAUGGCCAACUCUGUGCCAGCAGCCGCGGUAAUACAGAGAUGGCGAGCGUUACUCGGAUUUAUUGGGUGUAAAGGGCAGGUAGGUGUCUUUGCAAGUCAGGAGUGAAAUCCUAUGGCUCAACCAUAGAACUGCUUUUGAAACUGUAAAGAUUGAGGAUAGAAGAGGAGAGCGGAAUUCCCGGUGUAAGGGUGAAAUCUGUAGAUAUCGGGAGGAACACCAGUGGCGAAAGCGGCUCUCUGGUCUAUCCCUGACGCUGAUCUGCGAAAGCUAGGGGAGCAAACAGG